CAGUCGCCGCGGUAAUACGUAGGGUGCAAGCGUUAAUCGGAAUUACUGGGCGUAAAGCGUGCGCAGGCGGUUAUAUAAGACAGAUGUGAAAUCCCCGGGCUCAACCUGGGAACUGCAUUUGUGACUGUAUAGCUAGAGUACGGCAGAGGGGGAUGGAAUUCCGCGUGUAGCAGUGAAAUGCGUAGAUAUGCGGAGGAACACCGAUGGCGAAGGCAAUCCCCUGGGCCUGUACUGACGCUCAUGCACGAAAGCGUGGGGAGCAAACAGGAUUAGAGACCCGAGUAGUCCCUGUCUCUUAUAA
RNAcentral lists this ribosomal RNA (301 nucleotides) under uncultured bacterium. RNAcentral describes it as "partial 16S ribosomal RNA". It matches the Rfam family "Bacterial small subunit ribosomal RNA", at positions 509 to 809 of the family's 1533-position model. The record is from RNAcentral.